This 874-nucleotide ribosomal RNA is filed under the name uncultured bacterium. RNAcentral's name for it is "bacterial SSU rRNA". It matches the Rfam family "Bacterial small subunit ribosomal RNA", at positions 9 to 873 of the family's 1533-position model. The record is from RNAcentral.
AGAGUUUGAUCCUGGCUCAGAUUGAACGCUGGCGGCAUGCCUUACACAUGCAAGUCGAACGGCAGCACGGGAGCAAUCCUGGUGGCGAGUGGCGAACGGGUGAGUAAUAUAUCGGAACGUGCCCAGUCGUGGGGGAUAACGCAGCGAAAGCUGUGCUAAUACCGCAUACGAUCUCUGGAUGAAAGCGGGGGACUCGCAAGGGCCUCGCGCGAUUGGAGCGGCCGAUAUCAGAUUAGCUAGUUGGUGGGGUAAAAGCCCACCAAGGCGACGAUCUGUAGCUGGUCUGAGAGGACGACCAGCCACACUGGAACUGAGACACGGUCCAGACUCCUACGGGAGGCAGCAGUGGGGAAUUUUGGACAAUGGGCGAAAGCCUGAUCCAGCAAUGCCGCGUGCAGGAUGAAGGCCUUCGGGUUGUAAACUGCUUUUGUACGGAACGAAACGGUCGUCUUUAAUAAAGGUGGCUAAUGACGGUACCGUAAGAAUAAGCACCGGCUAACUACGUGCCAGCAGCCGCGGUAAUACGUAGGGUGCGAGCGUUAAUCGGAAUUACUGGGCGUAAAGCGUGCGCAGGCGGUUAUAUAAGACAGAUGUGAAAUCCCCGGGCUCAACCUGGGACCUGCAUUUGUGACUGUAUAGCUAGAGUACGGUAGAGGGGGAUGGAAUUCCGCGUGUAGCAGUGAAAUGCGUAGAUAUGCGGAGGAACACCGAUGGCGAAGGCAAUCCCCUGGACCUGUACUGACGCUCAUGCACGAAAGCGUGGGGAGCAAACAGGAUUAGAUACCCUGGUAGUCCACGCCCUAAACGAUGUCAACUGGUUGUUGGGUCUUCACUGACUCAGUAACGAAGCUAANCGCGUGAAGUGCCCGCCUGG